RNAcentral lists this unclassified non-coding RNA (384 nucleotides) under uncultured Pseudomonadota bacterium. Its description in RNAcentral is "uncultured proteobacterium contains 16S-23S intergenic spacer region". The record is from RNAcentral. Lineage: Bacteria; Pseudomonadati; Pseudomonadota.
GCCGGCUUAUCACCGGGAGUCUUGCUAGAGUGCCCACCCGAAGUGCUGGCAACUAACAACAGGGGUUGCGCUCGUUGCCGGACUUAACCGAACAUCUCACGACACGAGCUGACGACAGCCAUGCAGCACCUGUCUCCAGGCUCCCCCGUGAGGGGGCACCCCGUACUUUCAUACAGGUUCCUGGGAUGUCAAGGCUGGGUAAGGUUCUGCGCGUUGCUUCGAAUUAAACCACAUACUCCACCGCUUGUGCGGGCCCCCGUCAAUUCCUUUGAGUUUCAGCCUUGCGGCCGUACUCCCCAGGCGGGGCACUUAAUGCGUUAGCGCCGGCACUCAAGGGGUCGCUCCCCCAAGCACCUAGUGCCCAUCGUUUACGGCGUGGACUAC